This is a non-coding RNA of Peromyscus maniculatus bairdii (prairie deer mouse), 289 nucleotides long. Lineage: Eukaryota; Metazoa; Chordata; Mammalia; Rodentia; Cricetidae. The record is from RefSeq and is a predicted model, not a curated record.
AGAAGCCGCCUGUGUGUCAAAGCCUAGAAAUGCCCCUAUGAAGACCAGCUUUGAGAAGAGCUGACAUAAAGAGUGGUCAGAAGAAAGUCGUUCAUUCUGCCUAAGGCCUUCAAGCUACAGUGACAGAGAAGGUGUGGCUGCAGGUGUGGCAGGCAGCAGGUCGUGAUUGUACAUUCAUGAGUCAAGAGAUGCAUGCUAGGACGAUACUUCUUUUGUCUUUCUCAUCCAGUAUAGAAUGAGCUACAAUAAGGGUGGAUUUUUACCUCUCAAUUAAACCUUUAUAAAACAG